Molecule: long non-coding RNA, 1075 nt
Organism: Anas platyrhynchos (mallard)
Lineage: Eukaryota; Metazoa; Chordata; Aves; Anseriformes; Anatidae
Source: RefSeq, a predicted model, not a curated record
GGCCUUUGGUAGGAGAAAAUUUCUGGGAAGAAGCUUUGGGGGGCAACUAAGUCUGGGAAAGAGUCUUGGGAAUGAGGAGGAAGUUUAAACGUGUUUUUGUUAAGAAGACCAACCUUUAAGAAGGAAGGUUCUUUUUAUUCUUUUAAGCAGUAUAUGGUUUCUGCUUUAAGGAGAACCAAAGGGAAAUCAAAUCUGAAUCGAACUCUCAGGGACUGCACGUGCCUGGUGCCAUCCCAUGUGGAGGUCUGCCUGAAGGCAAUGUGAAUCCUCGCAGGUCUUGGACAAGGCCAUGGCCUUUUGGUGUGCCUGAGGUAUCCUGUCUGCCAUUAGCUGACAAAGUCAAAAGGUGUGCUUUUCUCUUUCGUUCUUGCAUAGAGUUAGAGGCAAUGGCAAUUUAAUCCGUGACUGAGGCUCUGCAAUGGUGCAAGUCUAUCCUACUGCUUCAAGUUCAGUGAUGCAAACUGAGUUUACACUAAUUAACUUUCAGGGAUUGAACCAAUUAAAAGCUUUUGGACUAUGACAAUUCUUGGAAAACAUUCCCACAGGUUUAUUUUCUUCUUUUACAUUUGUUUGCUAUCUCCAUCUCAUUCAAUGCAGGGAGGACUGGUUUGCUUCUCUCUUGUCUGGAAAAGUUCCCUGCACUAGGAACCAUGGUUAGAAUCAGAGUCCUGAUCUAAGAGUAUGAUGAAAAGUGUUGCACUCCAAGUUGGAAACUGUAGAAGAAAAUGUUCAUGUAUAUGUAAGAAUUGUACUCAAACAGCUGAUUACACCUUUUCAUACUCUUUAACAGAUGCUUACACCUUUUAAGGGAAAACUAAAACUAAGAAGCAACAGGCAGUUUUCUACGUUUCCCUUGGGAAUAGUGUACUCUUCUGUAUUUUACUUCUAUACAAACAGUUCAAACUGUUCAAAAACUGUUCUGUUCAAAAGUUCUGUUCUCAGUCAUACAACCAAACAACCUUGCAUGGCAUUACAUGUUCCCCUCCACAUAAAUCAAGCCCUGAAUGCAAGAUCAGACAAGUAAAUAAUGCCAACAUGUAAAACUAAUUUGAAAAUACAUUACUUUUUUUUUUUU